AUUGAACGCUGGCGGAAUGCUUUACACAUGCAAGUCGAACGGCAGCACGGGUGCUUGCACCUGGUGGUGAGUGGCGAACGGGUGAGUAAUGCACCGGAACGUAUCCAAUAAUGGGGGAUAACGCACCGAAAGGUGUGCUAAUACCGCAUACGCCCUGAGGGGGAAAGCGGGGAUCGUAAGACCUCGCGUUAAUGGAGCGGCCGAUGCCGGAUUAGCUAGUUGGUGAGGUAAAGGCUCACCAAGGCGACGAUCCGUAGCUGGUCUGAGAGGACGACCAGCCACACUGGAACUGAGACACGGUCCAGACUCCUACGGGAGGCAGCAGUGGGGAAUUUUGGACAAUGGGCGCAAGCCUGAUCCAGCCAUUCCGCGUGAGUGAAGAAGGCC
This 387-nucleotide ribosomal RNA is filed under the name uncultured bacterium. Its description in RNAcentral is "bacterial SSU rRNA". It matches the Rfam family "Bacterial small subunit ribosomal RNA", at positions 30 to 416 of the family's 1533-position model. The record is from RNAcentral.